GCAAUAUGACUGCUUGGAUUUUUUUUUUUUUCAUAUUCCUUAACUAGAUUUUUUUUCCUGGUCACUUUGAACUAUAGCUGGACAAUGAUUCAAAUUGCCAUUGCAAUAUCAGCCUGUACACCUGUAAAUUUCAAUGAGACUGAGCAGAGAGAGCUACAGCUACAACUGUACCCAACCCUGUAAAUAAGGUUGUAUCCUGCAAGGAUAAAACUCGGUUUUUUGCCCCCAGUUAAUCAGAUAUGAGUGCAAUACUAGCAUUUAUACACAUAUUCCUUACUUUACCAAAAACAUUUGGGAAAAACCCAUUCAGCAUUAGACUUAACACUGCACAUGGGUCUGACAUAAACAAGUUUCAACACAGGGGAUGCAACAUUUUAACAAUUCAUUAAAAAUCAAGGUACACAUUGUUCAGAUACAAAAAAAUUAUGUACAAAGAAUAUCAUUUCUUUAAAUCUCUUCCUAUAAAUACAAACGUUACAAUACUUAUUUAUGUAGAAGAAAAUAUAAUUUUCACAGUCUAACCAUAGAAGAAAUUAAUGAAAUAAAACAAAUGGAAAAAACAAGCAAAAACAAAAUUUGGCAAAUCAGAGAACUGUGUCCUCCACUUGUGUUAUCCCAGCAUCUUUUGCCAUGG
Sphaeramia orbicularis (orbiculate cardinalfish) is the source of this 634-nucleotide long non-coding RNA. RefSeq lists it as uncharacterized. NCBI's taxonomy places the organism in Eukaryota, Metazoa, Chordata, Actinopteri, Kurtiformes, Apogonidae. The transcript is spliced from 2 exons. The record is from RefSeq and is a predicted model, not a curated record.